This 72-nucleotide transfer RNA is filed under the name Toxocara canis (dog roundworm). It matches the Rfam family "tRNA". From Rfam's summary of the family: Transfer RNA (tRNA) molecules are approximately 80 nucleotides in length. Their secondary structure includes four short double-helical elements and three loops (D, anti-codon, and T loops). Lineage: Eukaryota; Metazoa; Nematoda; Chromadorea; Rhabditida; Toxocaridae. The record is from Rfam by way of RNAcentral.
UGGGCAGUAGCUCAGUGGUAGAGCUCCCGCUUCGUAUGCGUAGUGAUCUGGGUUUGAUUCCUAGCCGAUUAC